UGGGAAACUGGGGAUAAUACCCUAUAGACUAUGGAUGCUGGAAUGCUUCGUAGUUGAAAGGUCCGCCGCUGUAGGAUGGUUCUGCGGCCGAUUAGGUUGUUGUUGGGGUAACGGCCCAACAAGCCUUUAAUCGGUACGGGUUGUGGGAGCAAGAGCCCGGAGAUGGAUUCUGAGACACGAAUCCAGGCCCUACGGGGCGCAGCAGGCGCGAAAACUUUACAAUGCGGGAAACCGUGAUAAGGGAACUCUGAGUGCCCGGAAAAUCGGGCUGUCCAUCAGUUUAAAUAACUGGUGAAGAAAGGGCCGGGCAAGACCGGUGCCAGCCGCCGCGGUAAUA
RNAcentral lists this ribosomal RNA (337 nucleotides) under uncultured archaeon. RNAcentral's name for it is "partial 16S ribosomal RNA". It matches the Rfam family "Archaeal small subunit ribosomal RNA", at positions 133 to 475 of the family's 1478-position model. The record is from RNAcentral.